This 460-nucleotide ribosomal RNA is filed under the name uncultured bacterium. Its description in RNAcentral is "partial 16S ribosomal RNA". It matches the Rfam family "Bacterial small subunit ribosomal RNA", at positions 338 to 795 of the family's 1533-position model. The record is from RNAcentral.
CCUACGGGUGGCAGCAGUGAGGAAUAUUGGUCAAUGGACGCGAGUCUGAACCAGCCAAGUAGCGUGAAGGAUGACUGCCCUAUGGUUUGUACACUUCUUUUAUAAAGGCAUAAAACGCGGCACGUGUGCCUUUUUGCAUGUACUUUAUGAAUAAGGAUCGGCUAACUCCGUGCCAGCAGCCGCGGUACUACGGAGGAUCCGAGCGUUAUCCGGAUUUAUUGGGUUUAAAGGGAGCGUAGAUGGGUUGUUAAGUCAGUUGGGAAAGUUUGCGGCUCAACCGUAAAAUUGCAAUUGAUACUGGCAGUCUGGAGUACAGUUGAGGUAGGCGGAAUUCGUGGUGUAGCGGUGAAAUGCUUAGAUAUCACGAAGAACCCCGAUUGCGAAGGCAGCUUACUAAACUGUGACUGACAUUGAUGCUCGAAAGUGUGGGUAUCAAACAGGAUUAGAUACCCGAGUAGUC